GACGAACGCUGGCGGCGUGCUUAACACAUGCAAGUCGAACGGAAAGGCCCCCUUGUGGGGUACUCGAGUGGCGAACGGGUGAGUAACACGUGAGUAACCUACCCUUGACUUUGGGAUAACUUCAGGAAACUGGGGCUAAUACCGGAUAGGAGCUCCUGCUGCAUGGUGGGGGUUGGAAAGUUUCGGCGGUUGGGGAUGGACUCGCGGCUUAUCAGCUUGUUGGUGGGGUAGUGGCUCACCAAGGCUUUGACGGGUAGCCGGCCUGAGAGGGUGACCGGCCACAUUGGGACUGAGAUGCGGCCCAGACUCCUACGGGAGGCAGCAGUGGGGAAUAUUGCACAAUGGGCGGAAGCCUGAUGCAGCAACGCCGCGUGCGGGAUGACGGCCUUCGGGUUGUAAACCGCUUUCGCCUGUGACGAAGCGUGAGUGACGGUAAUGGGUAAAGAAGCACCGGCUAACUACGUG
RNAcentral lists this ribosomal RNA (465 nucleotides) under uncultured bacterium. RNAcentral describes it as "partial 16S ribosomal RNA". It matches the Rfam family "Bacterial small subunit ribosomal RNA", at positions 28 to 507 of the family's 1533-position model. The record is from RNAcentral.